Molecule: ribosomal RNA, 468 nt
Filed under: uncultured bacterium
Lineage: Bacteria
Description: partial 16S ribosomal RNA
Rfam family: Bacterial small subunit ribosomal RNA
Source: RNAcentral
GACGAACGCUGGCGGCGUGCUUAACACAUGCAAGUCGAACGGAAAGGCCCUGCUUUUGUGGGGUGCUCGAGUGGCGAACGGGUGAGUAACACGUGAGUAACCUGCCCUUGACUUUGGGAUAACUUCAGGAAACUGGGGCUAAUACCGGAUAGGAGCUCCUGCUGCAUGGUGGGGGUUGGAAAGUUUCGGCGGUUGGGGAUGGACUCGCGGCUUAUCAGCUUGUUGGUGGGGUAGUGGCUUACCAAGGCUUUGACGGGUAGCCGGCCUGGUCGGGUGACCGGGCAAAGUGGGAGUGGAAUGCGGCACGGACUGGUCCCGGAGGGAGCGGUGGAGUGGGUAGCAUGAGGGUCGGAGGGAUGACGUACGAAAGCCGCGCGCGGGAAGAGGGGAAGGCGGUUGGGAUGCAAAGUCCCCUUACACGGGACGAUAAUGACGGUACUGGGAGAAUAAGCACCGGCUAACUACGUG